UACAGAGGGUGCGAGCGUUAAUCGGAAUUACUGGGCGUAAAGCGUGCGUAGACGGUUAUUUAAGUUGGGUGUGAAAGCCCCGGGCUCAACCUGGGAAUUGCAUUCGAGACUGAAUAGCUAGGGUACGGUAGAGGGUAGUGGAAUUCCCGGUGUAGUGGUGAAAUGCGUAGAUAUCGGGAGGAACACCAGUGGCGAAGGCGACUACCUGGCCUGUUCUUGACGCUGAGGCGCGAAAGCUAGGGGAGCAAACGGG
This 253-nucleotide ribosomal RNA is filed under the name uncultured bacterium. Its description in RNAcentral is "partial 16S ribosomal RNA". It matches the Rfam family "Bacterial small subunit ribosomal RNA", at positions 524 to 776 of the family's 1533-position model. The record is from RNAcentral.